GCGGCGUGCUUACACAUGCAGUCGAACGGUGAAGCCCAGCUUGCUGGGUGGAUCAGUGGCGAACGGGUGAGUAACACGUGAGCAACCUGCCCUCCACUUUGGGAUAAGCCUUGGAAACGAGGUCUAAUACCGAAUAUGAGCAUGCGACGCAUGUCGUGUGUUGGAAAGUUUUUCGGUGGGGGAUGGGCUCGCGGCCUAUCAGCUUGUUGGUGGGGUAAUGGCCUACCAAGGCGUCGACGGGUAGCCGGCCUGAGAGGGCGACCGGCCACACUGGGACUGAGACACGGCCCAGACUCCUACGGGAGGCAGCAGUGGGGAAUAUUGCACAAUGGGCGAAAGCCUGAUGCAGCGACGCCGCGUGAGGGAUGACGGCCUUCGGGUUGUAAACCUCUUUCAGCAGGGAAGAAGGCUUCGGUUGACGGUACCUGCAGAAGAAGCGCCGGCUAACUACGUGCCAGCAGCCGCGGUAAUACGUAGGGCGCAAGCGUUGUCCGGAAUUAUUGGGCGUAAAGAGCUCGUAGGCGGUCUGUCGCGUCUGGUGUGAAAACCCGAGGCUCAACCUCGGGCUUGCAUCGGGUACGGGCAGACUAGAGUGCGGUAGGGGAGACUGGAAUUCCUGGUGUAGCGGUGGAAUGCGCAGAUAUCAGGAGGAACACCGAUGGCGAAGGCAGGUCUCUGGGCCGCAACUGACGCUGAGGAGCGAAAGCAUGGGGAGCGAACAGGAUUAGAUACCCUGGUAGUCCAUGCCGUAAACGUUGGGCACUAGGUGUGGGGCUCAUUCCACGAGUUCCGUGCCGCAGCUAACGCAUUAAGUGCCCCGCCUGGGGAGUACGGCCGCAAGGCUAAAACUCAAAGGAAUUGACGGGGGCCCGCACAAGCGGCGGAGCAUGCGGAUUAAUUCGAUGCAACGCGAAGAACCUUACCAAGGCUUGACAUGCACCGGACGCUGCCAGAGAUGGUGGUUCCGCAAGGUCGGUGCACAGGUGGUGCAUGCUUGUCGUCAGCUCGUGUCGUGAGAUGUUGGGUUAAGUCCCGCAACGAGCGCAACCCUCGUCCCAUGUUGCCAGCGGGUUAUGCCGGGGACUCAUGGGAGACUGCCGGGGUCAACUCGGAGGAAGGCGG
This 1122-nucleotide ribosomal RNA is filed under the name Isoptericola sp. Its description in RNAcentral is "bacterial SSU rRNA". It matches the Rfam family "Bacterial small subunit ribosomal RNA", at positions 39 to 1176 of the family's 1533-position model. The record is from RNAcentral. Lineage: Bacteria; Bacillati; Actinomycetota; Actinomycetes; Micrococcales; Promicromonosporaceae.